UGAGUAAAGGAUAUUGUUCAUUCUGAGCAAUUACUCAAAUUGUUUCACAGUGUGUUCUAUUUAUUUGUAUGAGCAUGGUUAAUAUGCAAACUGGAUCAUCCCUUGGAAACCUGAAAGUGAAUUUUGUGAUAAUACAAGGAAUCCUAGGGUAAUCAUACCAGAUGUCUUCUGCAUGCCUUAAUUUACAAAUGCCAACAAUAAAAAGGAGGAAGAAGGAGCCAGGAAGAUUGGAUGCAGUAGCCACCAAGGAACCCUGGUGAUGGCAUCUGCUUGGCUUCUAGGGAGGCCUCAGGAAGUUUACAAUCAUGGUGAAAAGUGAAGCUGGAGCAGGCACUUCACAUGGUGAAAGCAGGAGCAAGACACAGUGAAAUGGUACAAGUGCCAAACACUUUAAAAUGACCAGAUCUUACAAGAACUCACUAUCACGAAGACAGACGCCAAGUUAGAGUCAUGUGAAAGCUUUUUGCCAUAUAACUGACCACUGCCUUCCCAGCCAUCAACUCUUCUUUGAGCCGUUUUUUCUCCUUCUUUCUUACAACAACAACUCACUACCCUUCAACUUUAAACUUUCUGCAAAUAACAUAUGGGGAAGUUAUCACUGUCAAGCCUAGAUGUGUGGUGUUAUCGUUAAGUAUGAAACUGUGAUAGUGACUGCAAAGUACUAAAACUAUCCUAUAAAAUUGUGGAAAACAUCAGAAGAGGCCCUUGAGAUU
This 713-nucleotide long non-coding RNA is filed under the name Homo sapiens (human). Its description in RNAcentral is "long non-coding RNA NONHSAT204613.1". Lineage: Eukaryota; Metazoa; Chordata; Mammalia; Primates; Hominidae. The record is from RNAcentral.